UGAUAGGCUUUAUUAAAUGCCACAUACAGUGACUUCAGAAAGUAUU
Non-coding RNA from Salmo salar (Atlantic salmon), 46 nucleotides. Lineage: Eukaryota; Metazoa; Chordata; Actinopteri; Salmoniformes; Salmonidae. The record is from Rfam.